GAUCUCUCAAGAUGAAAAGCAUAUGAAUUAAAGGAUAGGUAAAAAACAAGUCAAAAAGAUAAUGCAACUGUGAAUUAAAGGAUAGAUUAUAGAAAAAGUUAAAAAAAAAUAUUAAAUAUUUCAAGCAUUCAAUGGUUGCAUAUGACAAUUAAUUGUAGCUGCACUCUUUUGGAUAGAUUACUUCAACCCUUUCAACCUACAUAACGUAUCCGAGAACCCAUGUCUAAAUUUAGAACCAUAUUCCCAUAUUUUCUAUUUAGAAAGUUCACAAGUCUUACACACAGAUAUGCACCCAUUUCCAACACCUGCACCCAAGUCCAAGUAACAUAGGCAACAAAUAUAAUGCAGACUACUAAAUAGAAAGCAUAUCUCUUUCAAACAUAUACUUGUAUGCCUGUGCCUGUACAUAACAAAAUACGCAUUGUCAUUUAAAUCAUAAUAACCAUCCAAAUCACCAGCAACUAAUGAGCCAAAGAAAUUCAAGUAAUUCUCAAGUCUCUUCAUUAUAACCAAAGUCACAUGCAUUAACCAUCAUGAUCAUGCGAAGAGGGAAGAGCAAGCAUGGAGUAAGUUUCUGAUCAGUUGCUAACAAACUUCUAUUAAAUUUAUAAACAUUCUGCAAGUUUCUGAUCAGUUGCUAACAAACUUCUAUUAAAUUUAUAAACAUUCUGCAAGUUUCUGAUCAGUUGCUAACAACCUUCUAUCAAAUUUAUAAACAUUCUGCUGUACAUAAAAGGCCAUACGAUUUAGAAUUUGAUAGACCAUCACCCCAAGAUAACAAUCAUUAUUCCUAUUUCCACUAUUCAAUUUCCUCACAAACAAACAGCUAAAUAUCU
RNAcentral lists this unclassified non-coding RNA (836 nucleotides) under Hevea brasiliensis (rubber tree). Lineage: Eukaryota; Viridiplantae; Streptophyta; Magnoliopsida; Malpighiales; Euphorbiaceae. The record is from RNAcentral.